This 2260-nucleotide long non-coding RNA is filed under the name Homo sapiens (human). RNAcentral's name for it is "non-protein coding lnc-ZNF131-2:21". Lineage: Eukaryota; Metazoa; Chordata; Mammalia; Primates; Hominidae. The record is from RNAcentral.
AACAGCAUCUCAAGGCAGAAGAAUUUUUCUUAGUACAGAUCAAAAUGGAGUUUCUUAUGUCUUCCUUUUUCUACAUAGACACAGUAACAGUCUGAUCUCUCUUUCUUUCCCCCACAAUGCUUGUUUGAGGACAUGUAUUAUCACCAGAGAGGACUUGAAACUGCAUAACAAACCGUACUUGCCAGACAUUUCCUAAUCACCUUCUCACUGUUUACUCCCUCCCCCUAUAAUCGAUAAUCGCAAAGCUUCCUUUCCCUUUGACUAUUCUAUUCUCUUCACAAUUUAUCACCCCUUGUUAAAUGGUAUAUAAGCCCCCAGCCCUAAACUCCUACUUGGGUUUUCACUUCUCUUUUGUGAAGCCUCAUUAUGUAUGCAAAAUAAAAUUUUUCUACUGUUAAUCUGUCGUUUAUCAGUUUAAGUGACAGGCUGGGGCUGGGCGCCGUGGCUCACGCCUGUAAUCCCAGCACUUUCGGGAGGCCGAGGUGGCCGGAUCACGAGGUCAGGAGAUCGAGACCAUCCUGGCUAACACAGUGAAACCCCGUCUCUACUAAAAAAUACAAAAAAUUAGACGGGCGUGGGCCGGUCGCGGUGGCUCCCGGCUGUAAUCCUAGCACUUUGGGAGGCCGAGGCGGGCGGAUCACGAGGUCAGGAGAUGGAGACCAUCCUGGCUAACACGGUGAAACCCCGUCUCUACUAAAAAUACAGAAAAUUAGCCGGACGAGGUGGCGGGCCCUGUAGUCCCAGCUACUCGGGAGGCUGAGGCAAGAGAAUGGCGUGAACCCCAGGGGGCGGAGCCUGCAGUGAGCCGAGAUUGCGCCCCACUGCACUCCAGCCUGGGCAACAGCGAGACUACGUCUCAAAAAAAAAAAAAAAAAAAAUUAGCCGGGUGUGGUGGCGGGCGCCUGUAGUCUCAGCUACUCGGCAGGCUGAGGCAGGAGAAUGGCGUGAACCCCGGAGGCAGAGCUUGCAGUGAGCCAAGAUUGUGCCACUGCACUCCAGCCUGGGCGACAGAGCAAGGCUCUGUCUCAAAAAAAAAAAAAAAAGUGACAGGCUCUACACACUGAAUUUAAGAAGGUAGAGGUCGGGUUUUUUCAUCAUCUACAAAGGUACUCUGCUUCUAAAAUGAGUUAGAACAAUGGAUUUGACCACAAUCAGAUGGACAUUAAGGGUAAGAAAGAAAAGUGGCUCAAAGCAGCCUGAGGAAUGUAAAGUAUGCAAAAUUUAUCAGGCUCAGAGAGACUUGAGCAAGAGCCUUCAGUCAUAUCCCUCUCAGCCAUACCCAGGAAUAACUGUUUCAAGGCAUUUUGACAGGGGCGGCGACUCAGCUCUUGCCUGUAAUCCCAGCUACUCAGCAGGCUGAGAUGGGAGGAUCACAUAAGCCCAGGAGUUUGAGACUGCAGCAGGCUAUAAUCAGGCUACUGCAUUUCACCCUGGUGACAGAGUGAGACUCCGUCUCAAAAAAAAACAAUAUAAGGUGAAGGCCAAGCAGGGUGGCACAUACCUGUUGUCUCACCUACUCAAAAGGCUGAGGCCAGAGGAGGAUUGCUGGAAGUGAGUUCAAAGCCAGCCUAGAGAAUAUAUUGAGACUCUGUCUCUAAAUUUUAUAUAUAUAUGGUGAAUUCACCUUUACCAUAUCUUUUAUGUAUAAGCAAUGGGAUUGAUUAGCAAGUAAUGGGACUCUGAAAUCAAAGGGGUAAAUUUGGGUAGAUCUUUAUAAAUAUAAUAACCUUGAACCCCACAAAUCUCUCUAAGCGUCCUUUAAAAAAUAGACUUUCUGUCUGAGUAGGUGAGUCCUUUUUUUUGUUUGAAGAUACUAGAAAGCUCUUACUUGAGACAGCUCCUAAAAGAAUGUCAAUUCAACAGAAGUCUCAUAGCCAGUAUAACUAAUUCUAACCCCCUAACUAGAGUCAGAUACUAGGAUACCCCUAAGGGACAACAAUGAAAUCUGAAUUUGGGUGUCAUUGCUUACAUAUCAAAACAGUUGCAAGAGACAGUUAAUUUAUAUUUGCAGAAACCAUAUGAAUUUGUAUGAAAAUGAUUUUUUAAAGUGCUAUAUCAAGAAAACUAGAACAUAAUGCAGAACAAAUAAAAUUUACUUAUAUGGGUGCCAAGAAUAGAAAUUCUGGGUUCCGCAUACAUCAGCAUCUAGAAGAAUCUGCAGUAGGUAUGGAUGGUUGAUUGAGGCCUUUAUUCAAUGGUAGUCUACAAAGAAUAAGACAGAAGUAAGAACUUUCCUGUUAAAAUGGAAAGAUAGAGUAAA